AUUAAACAUAGCAUGAAUGUUCUUUACGAGGUGGCGAAUAAGUUUUGUUUAUUUGUAACCGAUCCAUAAUCAAAGAUGGUAUCCAGACGGAGACUUAUAACAUAGGACCAUAAUGAAAAUACAUACAAAAGAGAGACGAAAGAUACCAAAGGGACAGUCAAACUUAUAAAUCUAAAUCAAACUGACAACGCCAUGGCUAAAAAUGAAAAAGACAAACAGACAAACAAUAGUACACAUGAUAUAACAUAGAAAACCUAAGAAUAAAAAACAC
This 271-nucleotide long non-coding RNA is filed under the name Mytilus galloprovincialis (Mediterranean mussel). The record is from RNAcentral. Lineage: Eukaryota; Metazoa; Mollusca; Bivalvia; Mytilida; Mytilidae.